UUUCCGUAGGUGAACCUGCGGAAGGAUCAUUCAUAAUAAGUGUUUUAUGGCACUUUUUUAAAUCCAUAUCCACCUUGUGUGCAAUGUCAGGGUUGAUUUUUCUCUCGAGAGGAUCAACCCCAAACAUCAACUGUAUCUCGACUCUUUGUCUGAAAAAUAUUAUGAAUAAAACAAUUCAAAAUACAACUUUCAACAACGGAUCUCUUGGCUCUC
Molecule: unclassified non-coding RNA, 213 nt
Filed under: plant metagenome
Description: partial contains small subunit ribosomal RNA, internal transcribed spacer 1, and 5.8S ribosomal RNA
Source: RNAcentral